Molecule: ribosomal RNA, 494 nt
Filed under: uncultured bacterium
Lineage: Bacteria
Description: bacterial SSU rRNA
Rfam family: Bacterial small subunit ribosomal RNA
Source: RNAcentral
AUGAACGCUAGCGGCAGGCUUAAUACAUGCAAGUUGAGGGGCAGCAUGAUAUACGCGAGUAUAUUGAUGGCGACCGGCGGACGGGUGAGUAAUAGGUAGGAGACCUACCUCAUACAGGGGGAUAGCAUAGAGAAAUCUGUGGUAAUACCCCAUGAGGUUAUAUGAAUAGAGGCAUAUAAUCAAAGCAUAAGUGAUUAUGCGGUAUGAGAGGGGCCUACUGACCAUUAGCUAGUUGGUGAGGUAAGGGCUCACCAAGGCGAAGAUGGUUAGGGGUUUUGAGAGAGAGACCCCCCACAUUGGAACUGAGAGACGGUCCAGACUCCUACGGGAGGCAGCAGUAGGGAAUAUUGGGCAAUGGGCGAAAGCCUGACCCAGCCAUGCCGCGUGAAGGAAGACGGCCUUAUGGGUUAUAAACUUCUUUACUACGCGAAUAGAGGUUAGUACGAGAUACUAAUAGGAAGGUAGUGUAGUAAAAAGCACCGGCUAACUCCGUG